GUGCUCACUUCAGCAGCACAUACACUAAAAUUGGAACCAUACAGAGAAGAUUAGCAUGGCCCCUGCGAAAGGAUGACACGCAAAUUGGUGAAGCGUUUCACAUUUUU
RNAcentral lists this small nuclear RNA (107 nucleotides) under Propithecus coquereli (Coquerel's sifaka). Lineage: Eukaryota; Metazoa; Chordata; Mammalia; Primates; Indriidae. The record is from RNAcentral.